AGAGUUUGAUCAUGGCUCAGAAUGAACGCUGGCGGCGUGCUUAACACAUGCAAGUCGAACGAUGAAGUUUAGUUUACUAAAUGGAUUAGUGGCGCACGGGUGAGUAAUAUAUAGAUAACGUGCCUCUUAGUCUGGGAUAGCCAUUGGAAACGAUGAUUAAUACUAGAUACUCCUUCUAACUCUAAUGUUAGUUGGGAAAGUUUUUCGCUAAGAGAUCGGUCUAUAUCCCAUCAGCUAGUUGGUAGUGUAAGAGACUACCAAGGCUAUGACGGGUAGCGGGUUUGAGAGGAUGAUCCGCCACACUGGUACUGAGACACGGACCAGACUCCUACGGGAGGCAGCAGUGAGGAAUAUUGCACAAUGGAGGAAACUCUGAUGCAGCAACGCCGCGUGGAGGAUGACGCAUUUCGGUGUGUAAACUCCUUUUAUAUGUCAAGAAAAUGACGGUAGCAUAUGAAUAAGCACCGGCUAACUCCGUGCCAGCAGCCGCGGUAAUACGGAGGGUGCAAGCGUUAUUCGGAAUCACUGGGCGUAAAGGACGCGUAGGCGGGAAGCCAAGUCUGAUGUGAAAUCCUAUGGCUCAACCAUAGAACUGCAUUGGAAACUGGUUACCUAGAGUAUGGGAGGGGGAGAUGGAAUUAGUGGUGUAGGGGUAAAAUCCGUAGAUAUCACUAGGAAUACCGAAAGCGAANGCNAUCUCCUGGAACAAUACUGACGCUAAGGCGUGAAAGCGUGGGUAGCAAACGGGAUUAGAUACCCCGGUAGUCCACGCCCUAAACGAUGAACA
This 787-nucleotide ribosomal RNA is filed under the name uncultured sediment bacterium. Its description in RNAcentral is "bacterial SSU rRNA". It matches the Rfam family "Bacterial small subunit ribosomal RNA", at positions 8 to 815 of the family's 1533-position model. The record is from RNAcentral.